GGCGGGCUGGACCUCUCGGGGUUACAGCCUUGCUGAAUUAUUCACCCUUGUCUUUUGCGUACUUCUUGUUUCCUUGGUGGGUUCGCCCACCACUAGGACAAACAUAAACCUUUUGUAAUUGCAAUCAGCGUCAGUAACAAAUUAAUAAUU
RNAcentral lists this unclassified non-coding RNA (150 nucleotides) under Alternaria tenuissima. RNAcentral describes it as "ITS1". Lineage: Eukaryota; Fungi; Ascomycota; Dothideomycetes; Pleosporales; Pleosporaceae. The record is from RNAcentral.